AGGCGGUCCCCUCGCAACGAUAGGUAGUGAAGCCCGCCAGGCCCGGAAGGGAGCAACGGUAGUU
This 64-nucleotide signal recognition particle RNA is filed under the name Pseudomonadota bacterium. Its description in RNAcentral is "Proteobacteria bacterium (cold seep metagenome) partial signal recognition particle sRNA small type". It matches the Rfam family "Bacterial small signal recognition particle RNA", at positions 1 to 64 of the family's 97-position model. From Rfam's summary of the family: The signal recognition particle (SRP) is a universally conserved ribonucleoprotein involved in the co-translational targeting of proteins to membranes. Archaeal SRP consists of a 7S RNA and homologues of the eukaryotic SRP19 and SRP54 proteins. Lineage: Bacteria; Pseudomonadati; Pseudomonadota. The record is from RNAcentral.